ACCUUACACACAUUGUCUAGUUUUUUUGAACUUUGCUUUGGGUGCAUCAGCCUAGCUGCGUGCCCAAAGGUCUAAACACAUUUUUUAAUGUUAAAACCUUUAACCAAUAGUCAUGAAAAUUUUUAACAAAAAUUAAAAUCUUCAAAACUUUCAACAACGGAUCUCUUGGUUCUCGCAACGAUGAAGAACGCAGCGAAAUGCGAUACGUAUUGUGAAUUGCAGAUUUUCGUGAAUCAUCGAAUCUUUGAACGCACAUUGCACCCUCUGGUAUUCCAGAGGGUAUGCCUGUUUGAGCGUCAUUUCUCUCUCAAACCUUCGGGUUUGGUAUUGAGUGAUACUCUGUCAAGGGUUAACUUGAAAUAUUGACUUAGCAAGAGUGUACUAAUAAGCAGUCUUUCUGAAAUAAUGUAUUAGGUUCUUCCAACUCGUUAUAUCAGCUAGGCAGGUUUAGAAGUAUUUUAGGCUCGGCUUAACAACAAUAAACUAAAAGUUUGACCUCAAAUCAGGUAGGACUACCCGCUGAACUUAAGCAUAUCA
This 537-nucleotide ribosomal RNA is filed under the name Hansenula anomala. RNAcentral describes it as "eukaryotic LSU rRNA". The stretch from base 146 to 299 matches the Rfam family "5.8S ribosomal RNA". The record is from RNAcentral. Lineage: Eukaryota; Fungi; Ascomycota; Saccharomycetes; Phaffomycetales; Wickerhamomycetaceae.